Molecule: ribosomal RNA, 253 nt
Filed under: uncultured bacterium
Lineage: Bacteria
Description: partial 16S ribosomal RNA
Rfam family: Bacterial small subunit ribosomal RNA
Source: RNAcentral
UACGGAGGGUGCGAGCGUUGUCCGGAAUCACUGGGCGUAAAGGGCGCGUAGGCGGCCUGAUAAGUAGGGGGUGAAAUCCUGCGGCUUAACCGCAGGGCUGCCUUCUAAACUGUCAGGCUUGAGCACAGUAGAGGCAGGUGGAAUUGGUAGUGUAGCAGUGAAAUGCUUAGAUAUUACCAGGAACACCAAUGGCGAAGGCAGCUUGCUGGGCCACUCCUGACACUGAGGUACGAAAGCGUGGGGAGCGAACAGG